ACGAACGCUGGCGGCGUGCCUCAAACAUGCAAGUCGAGCGUGGGCACGUUGCCUCGCAAGAGGCGACGUGCUCUAGCGGCGAACGGGUGCGUAACACGUGGGAAACCAACCCUCCAGACGGGGACAACCUCGGGAAACCGGGGCUAAUACCGGAUACGUUCGCCGGGUCGCAUGGCCUGGCGAGGAAAGGAUCGCAAGAUCGCUGGAGGACGGUCCCGCGGCCUAUCAGCUAGUUGGCGAGGUAACGGCCCACCAAGGCGAUGACGGGUAGCUGGCCUGAGAGGGUGGUCAGCCACACUGGAACUGAGAUACGGUCCAGACUCCUACGGGAGGCAGCAGUUGGGAAUCUUGGGCAAUGGGCGCAAGCCUGACCCAGCGACGCCGCGUGGGGGAUGAAGGCCUUCGGGUUGUAAACCCCUGUCAGGAGGGACGAAGCCGCAAGGUGACGGUACCUCCAGANGAAGCCCCGGCUAACUACGUGCCACAGCCGCGGUAAGACGUAGGGGGCUACGUUGUCCGGAAUUACUGGGCGUAAAGCGCGUGCAGGCGGCCUGGUAAGUUCCCGUGUUAAAGCCUACGGCUCAACUGGUAGGAAGGCCGCGGGAUUACUGGUCGGGCUUAAAAGGGCAGGA
This 632-nucleotide ribosomal RNA is filed under the name uncultured bacterium. RNAcentral describes it as "bacterial SSU rRNA". It matches the Rfam family "Bacterial small subunit ribosomal RNA", at positions 29 to 655 of the family's 1533-position model. The record is from RNAcentral.